Molecule: ribosomal RNA, 301 nt
Filed under: uncultured bacterium
Lineage: Bacteria
Description: partial 16S ribosomal RNA
Rfam family: Bacterial small subunit ribosomal RNA
Source: RNAcentral
CAGUAGCCGCGGGAAUACGUAGGGUGCAAGCGUUAAUCGGAAUUACUGGGCGUAAAGCGUGCGUAGGCGGUGAGUUAAGUCUGCUGUGAAAUCCCCGGGCUCAACCUGGGAAUGGCAGUGGAUACUGGCUCGCUAGAGUGUGUCAGAGGAUGGUGGAAUUCCCGGUGUAGCGGUGAAAUGCGUAGAGAUCGGGAGGAACAUCAGUGGCGAAGGCGGCCAUCUGGGACAACACUGACGCUGAGGCACGAAAGCGUGGGGAGCAAACAGGAUUAGAUACCCCCGUAGUCCCUGUCUCUUAUAC